CAAUUUUUCUAUACCAUAGGAUGAAACAAUUGCUGGUUCAAACUGUAAAUUGAGAAGUUAUACGAUCAUCAGUAAACUUGGAAAAUUAUCCUACGGGCACAACAAGACUUUUCCAACACAUAAAAGCUUAAACCAAGAGCUAGACUGUUCCUCCCCCGCUUGUGUAAUUUGUGGACAUAUUUUUUACAGAAGAAAGCUAGACCAACCAACGCAUAUUUUGUUUUAGAGAAUGUAAAAUAGUUUCAAAAUUUGCUUCUUGCUAGUUGGAUAAUGUAUAGAAUAAAGAUAUUAUAUACAGA
This is a long non-coding RNA of Eurytemora carolleeae, 299 nucleotides long. RefSeq lists it as uncharacterized. Lineage: Eukaryota; Metazoa; Arthropoda; Copepoda; Calanoida; Temoridae. The transcript is spliced from 2 exons. The record is from RefSeq and is a predicted model, not a curated record.